This 17-nucleotide unclassified non-coding RNA is filed under the name Mus musculus (house mouse). RNAcentral describes it as "oocyte_clustered_small_RNA11079". Lineage: Eukaryota; Metazoa; Chordata; Mammalia; Rodentia; Muridae. The record is from RNAcentral.
AAGACUACUAGCAGCGU